ACUCCCGGGCGCGUUCUCCUCCCAUUUGCACCCGGUGAGUGUUCCCCUCUGGAGGUUUAGCCUAACGGCACUUCCAACAACUCUUAGCCGGGUCCGCGAGAUCCGGCUUUUUUU
This 114-nucleotide small RNA is filed under the name Nitratireductor basaltis. Its description in RNAcentral is "Alphaproteobacterial ar15". It matches the Rfam family "Alphaproteobacterial ar15". Lineage: Bacteria; Pseudomonadati; Pseudomonadota; Alphaproteobacteria; Hyphomicrobiales; Phyllobacteriaceae. The record is from Rfam by way of RNAcentral.